GUUUAAAUUUUUUUUAUAUGAAAAGAAUGUCAAACUUAAAAACUUCAAUUAAAAUUUAGAAAAAUGGCAUUCCCUCCUUCCCAAACCACUUAUAAAUAACACCGAAUUUAAACAUAUUUGAUCAUCAGCCAAAGUAAAACAAUACCCCCAUCAAAGUUAAAAUGGCAGUUCAUUUAUUUUCUCAACCCUUUUUCUUCAACUUCUCUUUGCAUCAUUGCCUAGCCACCGUACCCUCACCUUUACUGCCGAUGACAGUUGGCAAAUCUUGCAAAAAAGUAUCGGAAUCUCCGCCAUGCAUGUGCAACUUCUUAGGAACGAUCGUGUGAUAAUGUUCGAUAGAACCAAUUUUGGACCGUAGAAUCUAUCGUUACCGAACGGGAAAUGCUGCAAUGACCCGGCGGACAUGGCUCUCCAAGUGGAUUGCACUACUCAUUCAGUAGAGUACGAUAUUUUUGCCAAUAAAUAUCGGGCUCUCUGUAACGCCCCCACGCUCGAGACCGUCGCCAGAGUCGAGCUUGAGGUGUUACCGAACAUAAUUUAUCGAAUUAAGAACUUCGAAUCAUUUAUUUCUACAUUCACAGCUUUCUAGCUACCUGCGUCACAGUUACAAGAAAAAUCAUAUCUCGAGUUAAAAAACUCGAAAUCAAGAUCCGUAAAUUUUCCUUAAAUCUAGCCUCAUAUAUAUAUUUACUAAUUUUUUUCUAGAAUUUUUGGUUGGUCCAAUUAAUACAGUUUAUUAGUUAAAGUUACCCCUGUUUCAGGACUUGACUGGACUGACCUCUGUUUACUACGAACCAUAUUUCUCUCUGUGAAAAGUUUAUAUGACUAUGACAUUUAUUUAUUACGAAACUAGACUCAAUAAGGAUUCCAAUAAUAUAAAAUACACCACCUAAUUAUUUUUGUACAAUUUAUGGUAAAUUUCUAAAGUUAGAACAGGGGAUCUAGAAAUCGCUCUAGCCCUGUUUCACUAAAAUUCAAAUAUCUUAUAACAUACAAUUCCUUUACUUGUUUCAUUUGUUUUAUAUGAAACUAGACAUACUAGGCUUCAAUUUCAUAUUUAAUCCAUCACCAAAUUCAAUUUCUAUGAUUUUAGUAAAUUUUCAAACUCAUGUCAGUGUUGCCGCAAUAUUCUGUUUAUGGCAAAUUUCAUCUUUUCAUGAGUUUUUAUUAUCUAGAUAACAUAUUAAACUUCCAUGACAUCAAACAUGAUCCAACUUAGCAUUUUUCAUGACUUAUCAUUAUUAAGCAUUUUCUCAGCCAAAUCAUGGCCAUAUCACAAAAUUAUUUACACAAAAUAGGUGUAUUGCUAUACAUGCCAUACUUAAGUUUUACAAGCCGUUUACCAAAAAGAGUCCUUCGGAUAGUGUGAUCGAACCUUCGACCGGUCCCAAUUCCUAAGCCGGCUUGUUCAAAACUACAGUGAAUGAAAAGGAGGGAGUAAGCAUAAAUGCUUAGUAAGUCAUAUGCAAAUAACAAGUAACAUAACAAUACAAUUAUACCAAACAACCUUAGCAUGGUAUCACCAAAACAUAUAUCACAUUUCUAAACAUCAUUAAUCAUCUUACCACCUUAUCGUUGUUGUAUCUAUUUUCAACCCGAAGGUUAAGUACAUACCUGUCCAAAGUGUCAAUUUCACAAUACUUACCAAUACAUCACCUGCAUCUUAAGUGUUCUUCCAUUUCACUAGAAAUUUUACCCGUUGAACACAUCGGAAUAUAACUCGGAUACAUGGAUAAUUUGCACAUAAGUGCCACAUUUGUAGCCAACCUACCAUGUAACCCGCCCAUAAGUGAACUCGGACUCAACUCAACGAGCUCGGGGGUUCGCAUCCAUAAGUGAACUCGGACUCAACUCAACGAGUUCUGAUGCCUAGUUACAUCUCACGAACUCGGACUCAACUCAACGAGUUCGGACAUUUCACAUCCAUAAGUGAACUCGGACUCAACUCAAUGAGUUCGGAUGUUCAACCGUCCUAGUGACAUGUCACUUGUAUCCUAAUCUAUUCCUAAGGUUCAAACGGGAUUUUCCUCGAACACAUCUCCUUGCCAUCUUCCGUAAAAUACCGAAACUAAUACUCGGUAGCACUUUAUAUUUAACAAAUAAUACACUUAAUUUGCAUUUUAUUCGAAAAUAACCACAAAGCAUAUAUUUCAUGAUAAAAAUCAGCAUAUCAUAUAUUUAACAUUAAUAGCUUAAAAAUAACAAUUAUGCUACCUUAUUUACACAUGAACUUACCUCGGUACAAAAUUUUUAACAAUCGAGCCUAUUCCUCGUAAACUUUGUUUUUUCCUCGAUCACGACUUGAAUCUCGUUUCUCUUGAUCUAUAAUACCAAAUUAAUCUUAUUUAAUACAUACAUUCAUUAAAACAGUACUUAAUACGAACUUUGGAAAAAUUACCAUUUUGCCCCUAAACUUUUGCAUAAUUACACUUUUGCCCCUAGGCUCGGGAAUUAAACUUCAUCCCUUAUUAUUAUGUUUUAUGACAUUCUGAUCAUUUUUCCCUUCUAUGGCAACAUCAAAUUCUCACUCUAACAUGUAUUUAUGACUACUAAAUAUUUUUACCGAUUAAGCCUUUUUACUCGUUUUUACUCAAAACCGAGUAGCAAAAGUUGUCUAACAAAAUUUAAAACCUCAUAUUCUGUCAUAAAACACAACAAUACAAUUAUACCAAACAACCUUAGCAUGGUAUCACCAAAACAUAUAUCACAUUUCUAAACAUCAUUAAUCAUCUUACCACCUUAUCGUUGUUGUAUCUAUCUUCAACCCGAAGGUUAAGUACAUACCUGUCCAAAGUGUCAAUUUCACAAUACUUACCAAUACAUCACCUGCAUCUUAAGUGUUCUUCCAUUUCACUAGAAAUUUUACCCGUUGAACACAUCGGAAUAUAACUCGGAUACAUGGAUAAUUUGCACAUAAGUGCCACAUUUGUAGCCAAGCUACCAUGUAACCCGCCCAUAAGUGAACUCGGACUCAACUCAACGAGCUCGGGGGUUCGCAUCCAUAAGUGAACUCGGACUCAACUCAACGAGUUCUGAUGCCUAGUUACAUCUCACGAACUCGGACUCAACUCAACGAGUUCGGACAUUUCACAUCCAUAAGUGAACUCGGACUCAACUCAAUGAGUUCGGAUGUUCAACCGUCCUAGUGACAUGUCACUUGUAUCCUAAUCUAUUCCUAAGGUUCAAACGGGAUUUUCCUCGAACACAUCUCCUUGCCAUCUUCCGUAAAAUACCGAAACCAAUACUCGGUAGCACUUUAUAUUUAACAAAUAAUACACUUAAUUUGCAUUUUAUUCGAAAAUAACCACAAAGCAUAUAUUUCAUGAUAAAAAUCAGCAUAUCAUAUAUUUAACAUUAAUAACUUAAAAAUAACAAUUAUGCUACCUUAUUUACACAUGAACUUACCUCGGUACAAAAUUUUUAACAAUCGAGCCUAUUCCUCGUAAACUUUAUUUUUUCCUCGAUCACGACUUGAAUCUCGUUUCUCUUGAUCUAUAAUACCAAAUUAAUCUUAUUUAAUACAUACAUUCAUUAAAACAGUACUUAAUACGAACUUUGGAAAAAUUACCAUUUUGCCCCUAAACUUUUGCAUAAUUACACUUUUGCCCCUAGGCUCGGGAAUUAAACUUCAUCCCUUAUUAUUAUGUUUUAUGACAUUCUGAUCAUUUUUCCCUUCUAUGGCAACAUCAAAUUCUCACUCUAACAUGUAUUUAUGACUACUAAAUAUUUUUACCGAUUAAGCCUUUUUACUCGUUUUUACUCAAAACCGAGUAGCAAAAGUUGUCUAACAAAAUUUAAAACCUCAUAUUCUGUCAUAAAACACCAAAAUACACAAAUUUCACCUAUGGGUAUUUUUCCAAAUAUGAACCAUAGGUUGAAUUAUUGUUAACAUAAGCCAAAUCGAGCUACCGGGAUUUCAAAAACAUAAAAAUCAUUAAAAACGGGGUUUGAAAUCACUUACUAUGAAAUUUGAAAGUUGAAGAAACCCCAGCUAUGGAGGAGAGAAAAAAUCAGCAGAACAAUAUGGAGAAG
Molecule: long non-coding RNA, 4032 nt
Filed under: Gossypium barbadense (sea-island cotton)
Lineage: Eukaryota; Viridiplantae; Streptophyta; Magnoliopsida; Malvales; Malvaceae
Description: long non-coding RNA (GBAR_LNC008648)
Source: RNAcentral